This 482-nucleotide ribosomal RNA is filed under the name uncultured bacterium. RNAcentral's name for it is "partial 16S ribosomal RNA". It matches the Rfam family "Bacterial small subunit ribosomal RNA", at positions 30 to 507 of the family's 1533-position model. The record is from RNAcentral.
AUUGAACGCUGGCGGCAUGAUUUACACAUGCAAGUCGAACGGUAACAGGCCGCAAGGUGCUGACGAGUGGCGAACGGGUGAGUAAUGCAUCGGAACGUGCCCAGUCGUGGGGGAUAACUACUCGAAAGAGUAGCUAAUACCGCAUACGAUCUAUGGAUGACAGCGGGGGACCGUAAGGCCUCGCGCGAUUGGAGCGGCCGAUGUCAGAUUAGGUAGUUGGUGGGGUAAAGGCUCACCAAGCCAACGAUCUGUAGCUGGUCUGAGAGGACGACCAGCCACACUGGGACUGAGACACGGCCCAGACUCCUACGGGAGGCAGCAGUGGGGAAUUUUGGACAAUGGGCGCAAGCCUGAUCCAGCAAUGCCGCGUGCAGGAAGAAGGCCUUCGGGUUGUAAACUGCUUUUGUACGGAACGAAACGGCUCUGGUUAAUACCCGGGGCUAAUGACGGUACCGUAAGAAUAAGCACCGGCUAACUACGUG